RNAcentral lists this unclassified non-coding RNA (384 nucleotides) under uncultured fungus. RNAcentral's name for it is "sequence contains ITS1". The stretch from base 1 to 105 matches the Rfam family "5.8S ribosomal RNA", at positions 50 to 154 of the family's 154-position model. Lineage: Eukaryota; Fungi. The record is from RNAcentral.
GAAAUGCGAUACGUAGUGUGAAUUGCAGAAUUCCGUGAACCAUCGAAUCUUUGAACGCAUAUUGCGCUCGAGGCCUCGGCCGAGAGCAUGUCUGCCUCAGCGUCGGCCCACCCCUCGCCACCCCUCCCCCUUUUGAUUUCAAAAGGGAGAUUGGAAAGGCGGAGCUGGCCGUCUCGACCGCCUUUCAAGGCAGUCGGGUCGGCUGAAGCACAGAGGCUUGAGCACGGACCCCGUUUGAUGGGCACAGCUUGGUAGGUAGCUCACGCUGCAUGCCGCUGGCGCCCUAGGGGACCUUGCUGUAAAGCCCGCAGGAAAGGGGCCAUUCACUUGGCCCCUGCUUUCACUUUCGACCUGAGUUUAGGCAAGGCUACCCGCUGAACUUAA